GAGAGGGAGACGGUGCGGCAGAGCUGCGUCAGCGCUGCGGAGGAGGGAGCAGCUGGCAUCUCCCGGCCGGGCCGCAGCGGAGGACCAGGGGGUGCCAGCAGCCGAAGGUGAGGGCAGGCCCCGGCUCCCGCCCCCCGGACGCGGAUCUCUCUCUGCGGUGCCACGGCUUCUCGGAGCCACCCAGCGCAGGCAGCUCGGAUGAUCCAUCCCACUAAGCAGCCCGAGGGCAAAGAAGCGGAAUCGUGGACCUUACUGCAGCCCAGCCCAGCCCCGAGCCCGAGGAAGCAGCAGAGGAAGAUGCUGAUGUCGCUGCCCACGCUGACGGUCCUAGUGCCCCUCAUCUCUCUGGCCGGCCUGAUCUACUCGGCCUCGGUGGAUGAGAACUUUCCCCACGGCUGCACCAGCACCACCAGCCUGUGCUUUUACAGCCUGCUCCUGCCCAUCAUCCUGCCGGUCUGCGUGAUCCUCUACCUCUGGACCUGGACACAGAAUUAAAGCCACCCAAUUCCCCCCCCCCCCCUACUCCCCGCUCCCCACCCCCGAGAGCAUUUACAGCGUAGGGCCUGUUGUCUCCAUUUAAACAAGAAAAUGCUCUCAUUUCAUUCCGCUUAACUCUUCAUAGACUGGAAUGAUCUCGUUCUCCUAGGGGAAAGGUCUCCAUCCCUCUCUGAGAGUCGGGGGUAAGGGGCGUUCAGACGGGCUCAUUUUCAUCCCGCCUUCCUGUUCCAGAGCUGGAGGUGGGGGCGGUAGGAGAUGGGGGUGGGGAGUCCCUACUUAUUCUUUUCUUUAAAAUAUCCUCCUGUAUCUCGAUCUGUGGAAGCGCUUGAUUAUAUUAAGUUCUGAUUAUAUCGAACUCGAAAUUGAAAUGCAUUGGCCAAAAGGUUCUUGGAUUGUUUUCCUCACUGGCUUAAAGGCCUUUGUAAUGGAAGGAAACGAUAAAGAUAAAUCUUUUCAAAGAUGCUUUACCAAAUAAUUCACUCGUUUAGAUAGUUUCAGUUAAAUUCAUUGGAACUAGAAUUCAUUCAAAAACUUACAAUACAGUGAAAAUUGAUGUGCAUAGAAAAAUACAAAAACCGAGGAGCAGAGAGGAAUCAGAGAUGAUCUACUCUGGCACAACACAAACCUGAAAUUCAAUGAAAACCAAACACUCCUAGAAAUAGAAAUAUCCUCAAGUCACCUUGAUUUUGAUUUCCAAAGAGCAGGAAUAUCAAACUUGGGAUCUUUCACCAGACCCUGAAAGGUUUACCCAAAAUUAGAGUCUCCAGUAUGGGCCUUAAGAAAAGUCUAGGUUUUAGGAAAGCAUUGCAGAAAAUUGACAGAAAUUUUAGCUUCAUUGAGGUAAGAAAGUAGGAAGACUUACAGGGAGGUCAAGCUAUGGACUUCCCCCAGAGAAAUGCUGAUUUCUUCCCCAGGAUAUAGCGCUUAGGUUUCUCAUCAUUUCUAAGUUUGAUGUUGAAGAGUAUGAGUUUCUUGUUGAUGUCCAAAAUUGGUUGGAAUUAUGUUUUGAACUUUAAACUUGAGCUACUUAAAAUACAGAUUUAUAUUGGGUUUAAUGAGUUAAUUAGGGGAAAUGUUAUUUCCAGCACAGUAGAUCUGGGCUCUGAAGAACAGCUAUUGGGCACCAUAGCUUUGAAGUUGUUUCUGAGAGUGAAAGUGAGAGAAGCUCUGCUCUGAAUGCCACUGGUACAAGUGUCAGAGCAUUGGAAUAAUCAUUUGGAGAUGCAUUCAACUGGAUUGUUUUGUGGCUUAUUGUUUGAUGUCAGUGUUAUGUUGAUGUGUUUCUUGCAUAAUGAUUUGGGAAAAUCAUUGCAGAGAAGCAGUGUUGGCUUGUGGAAUAAUACCCGGAGUGUGAUGCAUUUGUACACUUAGGAAUUUUGCUCCUCUUUUGAUCAUAAUACUGUGAUUUUAUGAAUUUAAGCUAUUACUUAUUAGUAACUUUUGUCUGGAAGGUAGCAUGCUCUUCUGGCUUAAAAUAGUCUUAAAUGUAUCCUCUGGGAGAGGUUGCUUAUUACCUUGGGAAGACUCAUUGUUGGAUAUUCUAUCGAUUGGCCAACCCCUCUGAACCUUCUGUCUUGGUAAGGUCCAAAAGUUCUUUAACCCUGUGACCACAGAGAAGGCAGGAAGGGUUUUAGAAAUUCUUCCCUAAGAUUAAGGCUUAGGGAGGAACCAACUCUUCUCCCCCCCCCCACCUACAACACACACACCCAGGUGCCCACCUGCACACAAAUGUACUCCCACACACUCACAUUCUCACAGGCUAAUGGGGAGAUAUUGACUUGCAAUAUGGUGACCUGUCUAAAUACUGAUUGUUAUGGAAACUAUGGAAACUCCCUGGAUAAAAUUAUUCAAUUGGUAUUUAUCAGUGCUGUAUCUUUGAGUCCACUUUGGAUCAACAAAUCCCAGUUUCAAAGAUUUUCCUGUUGGCAUAGGGGUUGAUAAUCGGUGCAUUAAGCUAUACAAGCUAACUGUAAUCAGGAUCUUUAGAGGUUUGUGUAUAUUCAUGUUAUGAGUAAAAUCCCCAAAUGUGAUUAUUUUCUAAAUUUCUAACGAUCUUUUUUCUUGCACCAGAAUGUAUUAAAUUAGAAUCUACUAAAAGUUUUUGGAUAAACUUGUAUAUGCUUAAUAAGCACUAAGGAUAAAUGUUUUUAAUUGUUAUUUGUUAUCAACUUAAUGAUAUUGCCAUUAGCUUGAGAAACAAGGUACCCUGCCCUGAGCUAGAAGCAAUGAAAUUUACUAUGUAAGAGAUGAAAUCUCUGAAGAUGGUCAUUUGAUUUGCUCCAAGUACUGAAUCUGGGUGUGUGUUUACAUGUUUGUCAAGCUAGCAAUCCAUCGUUCAAAGGAAAUGCCAAGAGCUGCUCAAAAGGAGUAUGAUCUCUAUGUGUAAUAGUGGAUGCUAAUUGCUGGGAAAGUUGAGAAGACAGUCUUAUAAAAAUAAUGGUAGGACCUUCUUGACUCGGUUUCUCCAUUAUGCUAUUUCUUUUUUGACCAGGAAAGUUUCCCAUGAAAUAUGGACCCAACUCUCAGACCCUUUGAAAAAUUUUGGCUCACAAUUGGCUGUUGCAAAAAGUUUUGACUUAUGCCCGAAAUCAGACAACGCUUGUCCUCUUACACCCUUUAUCAACCUAUUGAUCUGUGGCUUUAGACUCGACCCUGAUGAUUGCUACCUUAUCCCUCCUUCUGAUUUCAUAGCAAAUGUCUCUGACCAUGACUAAAGAACUACAAAGGUUUUAUAGUGAAUCUCCUUGUUCCAAUCAUCAAACUUCUCUGAGCAGAUGCUUGUCUUUCUGCUGUUGACUAUGGCCAUUACUUGUCUCACCUUCCUGACCUAGAUGACGAGCUCUAUUUUAAUAGUUGUAUACAUAUACAUACAUACAUAUAUAUGUGUGUGUGUAUAUGUACAUAUGUAUAUAUAUAUAAGCUUAUGUUUUAAGAGUCUCUCUUUCUGUCCAAGUGACCCUUCUCUUUCCUAUGACCUGAAGCUAACAUAUGAGUUUACAAUAUAAUCUUCACAUGAGGAGAAAUGAUUAAAGACACAUGAAGGCUAGAAUUCUUAAUGGAGUGAGAAAGGCAACAUGAUUAGGCUACUCCCCCCCGCCCCAGGACUGAGAUACAUGUGAGUGAUUGUUAAUGUUUCCCAAAUGAUAUUAAAUAUACUAAAAGAGCUCGUAUUGUACUAGCUGCAAUUGUACUAGGAGCUUUAGAACGGCACCAUGGCAGUGAAAACAAUUUUGGCAAAAAGCCAAAUAAAGACAAUGGUCCUAUAAUGAUAUAUUUUAUAUUUGACUCUGGAAAAGGUGAAGCCAGGUACUGAAUCUACUCCAGAAAUUCCAUUUGAUUAGCACCAGAUGAGUCUCAUAUAGAUGGCGAAAACCAAGAAUUUCGAAUAUGUUUAGUAACUGUCUAUAAAUUCUCACAUUGGAUUGGAGGUUUUGUAUGCAAAAUUGCUCUAUUUGUUGUUAAGAAACUAUCUGUUGGAGGGGUUUCUAAGGGGGACAUUCUCUCUGGGUCUGGCCCUCAAGAAUCCUUUUUAAAAAAAUUCUUCCUCCACCUUUUAAAAAUUGUUGUUGAUCGCAUCUAAAAGUCUUGGGAAAAGGAGAAAGAGCAAAUUACAACUCAGAUGAGUUGCAGGCAUCUGCAACUCUGAUGUUCUUCCUAUAGUCUUGAUAAUUAUAAAAUUGAUACCAUAAGGUUUGUCCUGGCUUUCACCUCAUGGAUUAAUUACAGGAAGGACAAUGUGAUUUAAGUUUGGUCCGAUUUUACUAAAUUAUAUUAAGUCUUAUCACUAGCAGGUUAGGUGACUUAUUUAGGAAACUAUCAUGAGAGGCAUUGCUUGGAGCCAGGAAAGUGAAUCUGCUCAAAGAAAUGCUUCUUAAAAGUUCAAAUCAAAUGCCCCAGAAACAAGGUGGAAAGAUCCUUUCCAGAAAAUGUUAACUAUCCACAUGGCAAUUGAAAAAUUCAAGCUGUUAAUUCAUGGACAUAUAUAUCUCAAGACCAGGCUUAACACUUUGUGGAUCGAACCUUUUGCCUUAGAAUUAGCAAGGGAAAAGUGCUUCCCAGAAGCAGACUAUUUCACGAGUUAGAUAGCAAAACCCAAGACUACAGAGCAAGGAUUGUAUUACCUAAAUGGACAUAUAGGUACAUUCUGUGUUACUUUUUUGUCCAGACUGUCCAGUUAUUUGCUGUUCUUUAUCUCUUAGAAAUUUCUUAUCCUUCUAUAAAGGUAUGCAGGCACCAGAUUUAAGAAACUGGAAGUUGAAACUCAGGUCCUCUUUGUUCCAGUCCUUCACAAAAUUACCGGUAAUAAUGUCUUAGUCUAAAUAUGGAAAUAUCUUGGGUUACAUAGAAAUAUAAACUACUCUUAAGAUUCAGUUUCCCCUAUAAUUGCAGGUACUUUUCACUAAAUCUUUACUACUGCUCAAAAUUAUUGCUUCAGAAACUUUGGGAGGAAAGACUGAGUUUUGAAAAUUAUUCCGACCUUCCAUUCUUGCUUAAAGGUUUUACUUAAGCUGCUUUCUUAUUCUUUUCAGUUUUAUGGUAGUAUAAUUAAUUGAUUCAUGUUUCCCCCUUGGGGGAGAAUGUUUUGGAUUUUAUAUUUGUUCCUCAUAUAUUUUGGCUUCCUCACUCCCAUAACCCAAUUUGGACUAAGAUCCCUCCUUUGCACAAACAACUGUCUUGCUGUAGCGGAAUCACAGUUAUUAAGUGGUUCAGAUCUGAUGAAACUCCUGAGGAAGGAUGCAAGGGGAGAACUGUAGAGAAAGAGAAUAAACCUGAAGACACUUGGAACUGGGGGAAACGUCUUCUAACAAAAUUAACUAAGUCCCGAGACCAAGGAAACAGAACUGAGGAGUCUCACUCUCUUUUGCUCCCUACUGACUACAUCUGAGUAAACAAGAAUGAUCCCAUUUUAAAAUGGAACCAUCUUAAAAAUUCCUUGCUUAUCCAGGGUAUUCUGAGGAGACUAAACAUUGAGAAUGUGUUUUUCCCAUAAGAACAAACUUGACCUUUAACAACUCCAGUGAUCCCAGGGCUUGCAUAUGUUCCCAUUUCUCUUCUGUUUCAGAAUGGCUCAGACCCUGAACAAGCCUCUCUACCUUAAGAAGGAGAAGGUACAACUAGCCCAAUCAGCUCAAUCUUUUUGACAGCAAAUCUUACAGUUGUGAUAGUGGAUCAGAUUCUCUUUGGACUCACCAGGAAUCUCCAGGAUGGGGUGGAGAGGAGAUUCCUGCUCAGGUCUCAGUUUGGCGACCUGCUUAUGAGGUUUGCUCUGGCUAAUAGGUUCCGUAAAAUAGGGUCCGUAAAAAGGAAGAAUAGAUCUUUGUCGUGAGAAAUUGAAUCAUUUGUGCUGGUUUUCAUAGAAUAUCACUUUUUCCCAAAAAAUGGAAAAUGGUUUGUUCCAUCAUUGCACUGAAAAGGAUCCCUGAGGAUAGGAUCUGACCCAGUGAAUUUAUUGUCAUAGGGAGGUCCCAGCUGAGGAAACUCUCUCUCCCCAGGAAGAGCAGUGAGGUAAUUUCCCAUUAUGUUAGAGCCAGCUUUACAUUCUGAGUGGAGACUGUGGUACCACUCCUAUAGAUCUCUACUGAAUUUUCUCUGGUUCACUUUGGGCCAGUGACCCCACGAGGGAGACACAAGGACGUGCCUAAAUAGAAAGCAAGUAAUAGACAAAGUCAUUAAAUCUAGACCUUGAUGGAAGCCCAUGAGCAAAAUGUCAAAUAGCUAAAACUUGGAUCCCUGUGGCACUCCACCCCCAACUGACCAUGAAAGGUCUAGCUUCUGACCCGAGCUCUCCAGCCAGUUCCUACCCCAUAUAAUUGUAUCAUCUUCUAGCUCACAAGUCUCCGUCUUGUCCCUGUGUAUCAUAUGCCAAAGAUGGCUGUCCUCACCCUCUGAAUCAGUGGCCAAAGCUGGGAGAGAGAUGGAGGGAAGUUUGCUUAACACAGUAUUUUAGGAAGAGAAGAACAAGAACGGGGAAAAGAUCAGCGUGGAAGCCCUAGAACAGGACUUCUUAAAUUUUUCCAUUUGUAACCCCUUUUCACCUGAGAAAUUUUUACAUGACCGUAGGUAUAUAAGUAUAUAAAAUAAAUAUACAAAUCAAACAUUUACUGAUAAUAAAUCAUAAUUUCUCCACUACCGCAGUCAGUUAUGAGAUCCCCACACGCAGUCAAAACCCACAGUUUUAGAAGCUGGAACCUAGAAUGUGAGUAUGUGGGCAAAAGUAGGAAUAAGAGCCAGGCCCUGUGGGGUCCGGAGGGGUCCAAGAGAAGGGGUCAGAGGUUUCUAAAGCUUGGGAGAAGGAGCCUCAGUUCCCCAGGAACAAGAAUCAAGAGAUCUGGUCUGUCCUUCAAAAGAUAUAUAUAUUUUUUAAAUCAAAAGAUAAUUUUAAACAGGCUAAGACAGAUACCAGAGAAAGGGAAAGUGCUGGCUGGGGAAGGGUCACCAGAGUCUGGGGUCCUGGCCUCUAGCACCUGACAGGGCGGGGGCUCAGGGUCCGCAUCCUCCAGGUCAAAUUGGACUAUUGUGUCCAAGAAGAUGGCAGCUCCAGGAGCUUUUCCUGACACAUCUACAGUGGACUGCAUUUCCUCGCCUUCUACCCCAAGAACUGGGCUGGGACAGAGUCUGAGAGAGGUCUAGGGGAGGAAGAGGAUGGCAACGGAUGAUGGUCUGUGCUCCAGAGACCCCAGGCUUGGGAGACACAGCUCUCUCAUCCAUGAGCGUGACUCCCAUGGACUCCCCCAGUACCAAUGCCCCGAGGCGCUGGGCUUCCACUCCCAGAACUCCAGGAGGAGGGGGUGUAGGAAGAGCCAGGUCUCCCAGGAGGGAUGGGGCCGCUGUGCCCAGGUUGGAUAAGGCCCCCCCAGGUCUGGAGGGGGGCAGAGAUAUACCUACCCCAAAAGACCGGGGGCCAAGCCGAAAUGUUGCUGCGCUCUCUGCUGAGGGCGAUGGAGAGUGCAGGGAGAGGGGCGCAAGAGCUCUGUUGUGACCAAGGGCAUGGUGAUGUUCGGAGAUCCCCCAGCUCCAUCCAUAGUCUCCUCCUCCUCCAGAGGCUUGAGGAGAGCUCAGGGGAAGCCUGACCAAUACUGCUGCUGCCGCCGGUGACCUUGGACAUUGCUGCUGUACCUGAAGAGGAAUAAGACGGGACUCGAUUGGGUGGCAGGGCCUGGGUCAGGGACACACUGGGCCAGGGGAAAGGGAAGAAAACAGGGGCCCCUUUGUGUCUCUGCUCCCUCUCCACAAGCAUGUGGAGUUGCCAUUCUGGGGAGUGGGCUGCCCUCCAAACUACUGGGGACCAGGACCGUGGAGGUAAUGGACAUCAUUCCCAUCAAUGACCCCUCAGGGUCAUGGGGGGGGGGGGAAGGAGAGGGGGACAAGGGCAAGUAGCUGUCACUCCCAAGCUUCUACCUGGAUGAAUACACCUCAGGGCAUCAUGUAGCCCUGAGACUUCCAGCAAGGGCUAAGAGGUGGGAGGGCUCUUCUCUGCUUCUUGUGGGGACCCUGAGGACUCCCUCCCUACCUGAGGCACUGUGGUCUGGGUCUCUGGCUGCCUCAUCCACAGUUGUGUUUGUUCUUUCCUGAUAAUAAGCAUCUUCCCAAGAUGGACAUGUCCAGACUUAGAUGUGAGCUGGGAACUGGGGAGUUCUGGGAAUUCCCCUGGUCAGAGCUGAAUGACGGCAAUCCCCAACCAUUUACUUGGUAGCCUUAGAGCUCAGACAGCCUAGAGCCCAUGUGAGUAUCUCCUGUUCCACCUCCCCAAGCCCAGCAAAGGGCAAGAACCAUGACAAGUAAGUCUCUCGCUCCUGUUUUAGGCUGGUUUUUGUCAAAUGUACCCUUGUGAGUAGUGGCUUAGCAUCUUUGAUGUGUAGGAAAUAAAUAGUUGUCCUAUA
Antechinus flavipes (yellow-footed antechinus) is the source of this 8378-nucleotide long non-coding RNA. RefSeq lists it as uncharacterized. Lineage: Eukaryota; Metazoa; Chordata; Mammalia; Dasyuromorphia; Dasyuridae. The record is from RefSeq and is a predicted model, not a curated record. The transcript has 3 exons.